GGUCCCAUAGCUCAGUCGGUUAGAGCAACUGACUCAUAAUCAGUGGGUCCUUGGUUCGAGCCCAAGUGGGACCA
RNAcentral lists this transfer RNA (74 nucleotides) under Bacteroidales bacterium. RNAcentral's name for it is "tRNA-Ile". It matches the Rfam family "tRNA". Rfam says of the family: Transfer RNA (tRNA) molecules are approximately 80 nucleotides in length. Their secondary structure includes four short double-helical elements and three loops (D, anti-codon, and T loops). The record is from RNAcentral. RNAcentral also lists the same sequence under 1 other name. Lineage: Bacteria; Pseudomonadati; Bacteroidota; Bacteroidia; Bacteroidales.